UAAGAAGAGUCUACCAUUUCCUUCAAUUGGCCUAUCCACAUCAGCACCUCACUCUCACAAAAUUCCACAUCAUUGUCUCUUUAUUGUGUUCUGCGGCAGUUCUAAGGGUGGAAGUUUCAACCUCUCAUCUUGCAGUUACGGAUUCUUUACUUUCCGUGGCCAUCCACAUUCCCACUUCCUAUGUCAAUGGAGGUUACAAAUUUAAAUCACACUUUCAACAAUUCUUCCACUCUCCAUAUUCCAUUGAAUUGCACGAUUCAUUUUUCCCAUUUCAAUUUCUUCCUCUAUUUCUUUGUUUCAGUCGUCUGUUUCCAUAAUCACAGGAUUCGACCCUUCCAAACUCCAAACCCUAGACCCCAUUCCCAAAACCCAAAUCAAAAAUCAUUGGCGAGAAUAUCGACCUUCCCAUCACCGAUUCACACUCUUCCCAUUCCCUGACUUUCGAACCGGAGCUUCAAUCUUCGAUCAGCCUGAUUCCGAUAAGUCAUUUUACGGUCUCAACCUCCAUUCUGGGAAUUCCGAGAACAAGAAACAGCUAGGUGACUGUGAUGGUCUGAGGCUUGAGUUUCAAUUGAAGAUAACAACACGUUUUCGGCGGCGAUUGAGGUUGAAUUCCGAAUUGUUGAUAUUUUUUAUCGAUUCAAAUGACAAUGGGAUCUAUGAUGAUGUCUUGCUCAUGGAAGGUUCCCAUUUCUUCUGCCUUCCAAUCAGUAUCAUACUUACUAUCUGAAAGUUCUUUAAACUGCUGAAGAGAUUUGUGGAGGUUCUGGUGGAAUUGAUGUAUUUGCGGUUCAGGCAGCAAAGUUGGGCAGAUCAAGAGUGAUGAAGAGAGGCUAUCUUAUUGCGAGAGUAUGGGAGCCCAUGUUUGCAUCAAUCACAGAAUUGAGGACUUUGCUGCAAGAGUACAGAACGAAACUGGCGGUCGAGGUGUUGAUGUGAUUCUUGAUUGUAUUGGAACACCUUUCUUUCAAAAGAAUAUUGAUAGCUUAAACUUUAAUGGAAUGCUUUUCAUGAUUGGCACUCUAGGGACAACUUUGUAUACUCAGAUGGAUCUAAGGGAUUUAGUUACUAAGCGUCUCAAUGUCCACGAUAUUACAAUCUUCAUUGUUAGUUACGAAGCGUAUAUUGACAAAAUUAUAUGUUUUAGCGUGUUGCUUUGUCUACUGCUGCUAAUAUGUGCAAGAAGCUUCCUUCAGAUGCAACUGAUUUUGUAAUGGAGGUUGUUCUUCUUCUGACGAACCUCCUCCAGUACCAUGAUUCUAAGUGAAAGUGUUGGAUUGGGGUGAUGGUGGUGUCGCUGCUGCUAAUAUGUGCAAGAAGCUUCCUUCAGAUGCAACUGAUUUUGUAAUGGAGGUUGUUCUUCUUCUGACGAACCUCCUCUAGUACCAUGAUUCUAAGUGAAGGUGUUGGAUUGGGGUGAUGGUGGUGUCGCCGCUGCUGCUGAAACUUCCACUUUACGCUCAUCUUUUAGGCAGGAAGUUGUUGUCUGGCACAAACUUGACCAUCCAAAGGUUACAAAGUGCAGGAAGUAUUGGAAGAAGUUUUAAAGGUGAGUUUCAGCAUUGGCAGCUAUUCCCUCUCGCAAGUGAAGACAAACCAGUAAAAUAAAAUGAAAGUAAUGUUGCAUUCAGAUGUAGAGGCUCGCAUUGGAGCACACCUUAUAUUUUCUGUACUUCUUUGACCAAAUUCCUUCCAUACACAUGAAGUUUCUUCGCUGCGGUCCAGAUAUCUAGAUUAACGCAGCAAAAAGAAUUCCCAUACUGCAGCUGCAUCCGCUUCAAUUACACCGUUACUCAAAAAACUCCGCAGGGGCAAAGAUAGUACAAAUGCAGAUCACGGGAAUGUUGUUCAUGAUGACAAGGAAAGAGAUACUGUGGUCAAAGAGUGGAAACAAUGUUGUGGCAUAUGAAGAACAUCACCAUACAACCAUUCACCAAGAUCUUAUGCCUGUGUAUAUCUAAACUGAGAACUAGCAUAUGAGACAAAAACAUAACCUAGAGCUUGCUGCUGAGAACGAUUAUUGCAGACAUGACAUGAACUUUCUUUCUAUUUUCAUGAUUCUUCUUGGUCUGUCUCAUCUUGUAUGCUCAACAUCAGUCUCAGUUACAAGAACUGAAAACCUUAUGCAAGAAGUUCAAGUUCAUCUAAUCUAUCAUAUAAGAAGUUCAAGUUUUAUUUUGAUUAAAAAGAUGUAGAGGAAGAAGGAAGAAAAAUAAAGAGAAGAAAGAAGAAGAAGAGAGAGGACGCGGAAGAGAGAAGAAUGGAAGAGGAAGAGAGAGGUUAAGGAAUUGUAGAUUAAUGACGGAGGAACCGUUUUUGAAUUUGGAGAUGGUUAUAUCUUUUGAACAGGCUUCUGGAAAGUUACUUUAUCUACUAAUUCAGCCAUUCAGAUAAACAAGACAGUUGAUGGAGAUAGUAUCCUACAUAAUGAUGGUAAAGGUAAGAAAGUUCAAACAAUACUUGGUGAAGACACACGAUGGGAAAUUAAAUGGGAGGAACUUCGUAUCGGGGAGCGUAUUUGUAUUGUUCGAGAUUAUGGUUUAACUCAAAGGGAAAGUUGUCACAUGAUCAGGCCUUGCAUAAAUACUGCAUAUCUUUGAAAGUGUUGAGUUUACGUAAAAAUUCGUAUAUCAAACAAUAUGUGCGUGGUUUGCAUUACAAGUAUGUGGCUGCAUACUUCUGAUCUAAUAUUUCUUCAAGUGAUUAUGAAUCCUCAUUGUGAAGGGGUAUAAAGAUGCGUACCUUGAGUUUGGACCACGGUGUUCCUCUCUACCUGGCUGUUAAUGUAAAAGAAGUUUUAACAAUGUGAGUCUUUUUUAGAGUGAAGGUUGUGAGGAUGUACUUAUUCAGCUAAUAUCCCUUGAUAUCGGUGCACUUAUUGCUGGAGCAAAAUUCCUGGGAGAAUUCGAAGAUAUGAUGAAAGCCGUUCUUAACGGGUAUCCUUAAAAGAGCUCAAUAUGUUUUCAAUAUGGUUUAGAACGCAAACCUUCUGAUGUGCAGAAGUAUGUAAAGGUGUUUAUGGAAGUUGACACCGACAGGGAUGGGAAAAUCACUGGGGAGCAGGCACGCAGUCUAUUUUUAAGUUGGAGAUUACCGAUAGUUUCUUUGAUGUUAUUAAGGAGCAGCAGAUCAGUAGGGAUUAAGAGUUUGUGCCUCAUACUUUGAAGUUAUGAAUUAAUAAUGGCAUAGAGUAUUAAUGGAUUGAUAGUUGGAUUCUCACUUCCUGAUAAUCUAAUGGAAUCUCCGGCAAGGUCUGAAAGUGUAUUCUCUCUCAGGUUGCACCGGUGAGGUCCACUAGGAAGAAAAUGACGAAACAGUUGACGGGAAAGCGUGAAGAUACACCUUUACAUUCUGCGGCGAGAAUCAAUGAUAUGGCUUCUUUGAAGGGGACGGUGGAUGGUGCUGAAGAGGGUAAGCUGCGUGAAGUGUUUGUGAAGCAGAAUCAAGGUGGACAAACGACUCUUUAUGUUGCUGCUGAGUAUGGUUAUGUUGAUAUGGUUAGGGAGAUGAUUAAAUAUUAUGAUCUUGCUGAUGCUGGAAUUAAAGCGAGAAAUGGUUAUGAUGCGCUUUAUUUGUACCAUUUCGAGUUCGUCUUCCUCUACGUGCAACUCUGCUACUCUCAAUGAUAGAAUCGGUUUAUGCUAUGUCGUCAAGAAUCGUUUAACUUCUUCUGGCUAUAUGGUUUCAAAAUAAGAGAGCUAGAUGGAAAUCAAAGCAACUUGAGAGAGAGUACAAUAAACUUUAAAAUAUUUACAAUAGUUUGAUAUCAAGAUUUGAAUCAAUGAAGAUGUUGUAUCACAUGAUGACACAAACAAAAAAAGUUGAGUAUUUUGUUUUCCGUACAACAUAGUCAUUACUUUGUAUGAAA
Molecule: long non-coding RNA, 3868 nt
Organism: Vicia villosa (hairy vetch)
Lineage: Eukaryota; Viridiplantae; Streptophyta; Magnoliopsida; Fabales; Fabaceae
Exons: 15
Source: RefSeq, a predicted model, not a curated record